AGAAUCAACGCUGGCGGCGUGCCUAACACAUGCAAGUCGCACGAGAAAGGGUAGCAAUACCUGAGUACAGUGGCGCACGGGUGAGUAACACGUGAAUAAUCUACCUCCGAGUGGGGAAUAACUGAGAGAAAUCUUAGCUAAUACCGCAUAAUACCCACGGGUCAAAGCAGCAAUGCGCUUGGAGAGGAGUUCGCGGCAGAUUAGUUAGUUGGCGGGGUAAUGGCCCACCAAGACGAUGAUCUGUAUCCGGCCUGAGAGGGCGCACGGACACACUGGAACUGAAACACGGUCCAGACUCCUACGGGAGGCAGCAGUGGGGAAUUUUGCGCAACGGGGGAAACCCUGACGCAGCAACGCCGCGUGGAGGAUGAAGCCCCUGGGGUGUAAACUCCUUUCGAUCGGGAAGAUAAUGACGGUACCGAUAUAAGAAGCCCGGCUAACUUCGCGCCAGCAGCCGC
RNAcentral lists this ribosomal RNA (458 nucleotides) under uncultured bacterium. Its description in RNAcentral is "SSU rRNA". It matches the Rfam family "Bacterial small subunit ribosomal RNA", at positions 26 to 518 of the family's 1533-position model. The record is from RNAcentral.